UUUGGCUCCCAAAAAUCAGGGCCCCUGAUUCAUCGCAUUGUUUGUGACUCAUACCCUACCAGGUGUUGAAAAUUCAAACUGACAAUCAUCUCAAAACGAUUCACGAAUUUUGUUCUCACGAUCAAUCUUACUCAUACCGCACAUUGUGGAUGUAGAAUUACGCCCGCCCUGCAUCUGCAUACAUUAAAGUGCAACGCUUCACAGUCAUGACACACUGCUGACCAGCGCGAGCAGUAGAUCAUUGCAACGAUUCGACAUUGUGUGUCAAGUAAACGGGAACGCAAUGAUGACGUUAAUGAUUAUUGCUGAUAAAAUAUGUACGGCAAGUCAAAUCAAUCUGAGCUACUAUUGAUGGAUGUGCAAUUUAAGUAACCCGUUUUAGAAUUCCUUCGUUCAGUAAGGAAUUGAACUUGUCCCGGUUAAGACGAUGCUACGUUUCGUUAUCGUUUUGUACUCGGUAGUUAGUUUGUCAAGGGCGGCACCGACUGUGCACCUUGGAGAAUCAUCCACAGAUGAUUAUGAAUACAACACAAUGCUUCCGCCAAUAACUAGAACACGAAGGCCCCUAAUUGAAACUCCUUACGUAGACCCAAAUUAUUUCAAUUAUAAUCAACCAACCACUACUGUCCAUCCACCAGUUUUCCAACAGCCAGAGUCAUAUCCGCAGCUUCCUCAGUUUUCCAGCAACCAGCCACCAGUUUUCCAGCAGCCAGAGUCACAGCCGCAGCUUCCCCAGGUCCAGUAUCACUAUUACCAACCGUACAAUAUGCAUCCUUAUCAUGUGCAACCUUCGUUCGGCUACCAGUGGCAAAAUACGGUACAGCCGGCGAACACUAACGUCGUGCCUUGUACCAAUCCGCAGCACUAUGGCGGUUAUCAGCAGUACGGUUAUUGAUGUAGGCCCUUUCCCAAAGGAUCCAACCCCGCAGCAAAUCUUCCGUGAUUGUUACAUAAAAGCAAACACUCGUCAAUUAUCCUCUAUACAGCUCUAAUUUUACGAAUGAAAUCACUUCAAAGUCCAUUUGUCCUCAGCGCGAUUAUGUAGCGGUUCAAGCAGCGAAACGAUACGCUUUCAAAGCUUCCCAAAUCUUCCUGCUCCACCAUCAAAUCCCGCCGGCAAGCAAGCAAGCAGAGGAGUUCUGGUUCUGGUUUUUCCGCUGGUUGGACAAACAAAGCUCGACUCUUGCGGAGCCCAAGCAUGAAGGGGGAAAGAAAUGACGGCAGCUCAGAGCGCACUCGAUUAAAUUCAAACAAUUUCGAUAAUCCCGCACCACCCACUUCUGUUACUCACUGUUGCCGCAGAAGCUGCCCGAAGACGACACUGGCGAUGGAUCAUUUGGAUUUUCUUUGGGAAUGGCGCUUCUGGGAAUACACUUUUCGAUGGAUGCUGAAGCUGGGAACUAACCUGGGCUUUUUCGGAACAAAAAUGAGCUAAUAAUUAUAUGAAUUAGUGACAAAUUGGUCAGUCAGUGGUUUAAUAAUAAUAAUGCAAAAGUGGUUCUAUUUAUUAAAAAAAAUCAAAUUAAAGUAUUUUCAUCUGUGUUGAGUUUAAAAGUUUGAUCGUAUGUUUUGUGUAUUGUAUACUUUGGAAAAAAGCUCUCAGUUAAAAACUGUGGAAGUGCUUGUCCCAGUGAGGACGUUAUUCCAAGAAGAAUAUUUUCCACCUUUUGGUAUUUUCUGCCUG
Aedes aegypti (yellow fever mosquito) is the source of this 1684-nucleotide long non-coding RNA. RefSeq lists it as uncharacterized. The transcript is spliced from 2 exons. Lineage: Eukaryota; Metazoa; Arthropoda; Insecta; Diptera; Culicidae. The record is from RefSeq and is a predicted model, not a curated record.